This is a non-coding RNA of Phalacrocorax carbo (great cormorant), 1679 nucleotides long. The record is from RefSeq and is a predicted model, not a curated record. NCBI's taxonomy places the organism in Eukaryota, Metazoa, Chordata, Aves, Suliformes, Phalacrocoracidae.
CACCCCGAGGGGCUGCAUGCAGGGGUGCCCACCCUCGGGGCCCUGAGGCCUCGGGGGGGUGAACCCUUUGGGCCAGGGAAGGGGGGUGGGUCCCCAAGAAGGGCCCCCCACCACCCCAACCCCGCAGUCUGAUGCCUGGGGCGGCCACCAGCAGGGCUGGGCCACUGGCCCGCGUGGCAAGACGGGACUCGCUGCAAUACAGGGCUGAUCUAUAGGGCUGAUCUAUAAUUGAUGUAUAGCCUUGAUCUAUAGGGUAGGUCUGGAGCAGGGCUCGAGUCCCGCAGCGGACGCCGACGGGUGCCCGUCGCCCUCCGCGGAGCCGCCGCCUGCGAUGUGUUGGGGUGGCGGCAGAGGGUGCCACCCGGCCGCCGCCGCGCCUCCCGCCGUAACUCGUUAAGAGGUGUCCAAAUCAACGCGUGCUCCUUAAAAAACCCGCCUAUUAAAGCUCUGCUGGAGAUCACCGUCUUCUGCGGGUCAAGGAUUGUUCGACAACGCCUCCUACAAGGUCAGAAACCCCAAAUCGGUGAAGCCCUGAACUCUGAAAACAGGAAGGCGAGUGCUCAGCUGUUCCGCGCCGCCGGGCAGAUAAAUGUGUCGGAGGCGAGCAGGAGCCGCAACGAAGAGGAACUAACGAGCACGGUUGGACCGGCGGCUCCCCAGAGGGGUCCCCCCCACCCCCAAGCCCUCUCCGAAGGGCUGAGGAGAGUCUGGGAGAGGCUUUUGCCGCCGCGGCGGAGCCCCGGCAGGUCAGAAGGAAGCGCGUGGCCCAGGCGAGGUCCAAAGAGGCACUUUUAUUCGCGGCCGCGACGCAGGGAACGCGCCUGAUGAUGCGGGGAACGCGCACAGGCGCUCCUGCCGGGGGUACGGCCUCGCGCAGGAGCCCCGCUGCGUAGCUGAAUGCCUCAGAAAUACAUUAAAAAAGGAGGAAUAUUUUUCAUAGAACAUCAGCCCCGCUGUUUUUAGCAUAUUUUUAGGUUUUUUUUCACUUGCCCUGGCCCGAUUCGGGGAAGGAUUUGGAGCAUGUGCGGUUUAUAGGGGGAAAAGUUGCAUCUCGAUACAGAAAAGAGCGCGGUUAUUCCUCAAGACAGACAAAUUAAUGCCUUUAAACACACAGCUUUGCACGGGAGAUGUCACCAAAGAAACAACCCAAGCCUUUCCGCACACUAAAAUCCCGCCGGAGCGCUGCCCUCGCCUGAGUGGCUCUGUUUUUUUUACCAAAACCCCCUAGUUUACGGGAUGAUUUGCCCCCCCCACCGCUUUCCGAAGCUCUCGGCGAGCGCGGCCCCUGGGGUUGUCGGCUUUGAAACAACUCCUUCGGCGCGUUGGAAACGGGAACCCCGAAUUCUGCUCCUCAAACUCCGACUUGCCAGAACGCGGCAGAGCCACCCCCGCGGCCCAGAGACCACAUUUCGCUGGAUUUAUUCUUUUAUUUCAACAUUUCUAUUUCCAGACCUAAAUAAUCUCUACUGCUUAUGGGCUGUUUAUGCGAAUGAACGGAGCUCCCGCUGCUUCCCCGCUAUUUUGGGCAGCAUUUCCACAACCAAAGUGUCUGGACACAGGAAGGGAACGGCCGAAGCUGAGGAGCCCGAGUAAAACUUACCCUCUACACCAAGAUUUCAAACAGGAAAUAAAACAAACCACCUCAAAACCUACCCAAGGAUGGGAGAGGAGAGAAAUAA